Papio anubis (olive baboon) is the source of this 1636-nucleotide long non-coding RNA. Lineage: Eukaryota; Metazoa; Chordata; Mammalia; Primates; Cercopithecidae. The record is from Ensembl.
AUGGGGUCUUGUUAUGUUGCCAGGUGCCUGGAACUCCUGUGUUCAAGCAGUCCUCCCACUUCAGCCUCCCAAGCAGCUGGGACUACAGGUGCCCACCACCAUGCCCAGCUUGUUUCCUCAUCUUUAAAUAGGGAAAUAAGACCUACCUUUCAGGAAUGUUGUGGAGAGAGAUUCAUACAGAAUCGCAUCUGCAUAGAACUGCAAUGAACCUCUCCAUCAUCCAUCACCAUCUUCGGCAAGGUGUGGAUCUUAGCCUGGUGGUAGAAUGUGAAGAUGAGGACCUCAUCCAGGUCCUUCCUUCCUGGGGUGCUCUGCCUCAGCCCUAGAGGCUGUCCCUUACGUCUGCUGUAAUUGUAUUCUUUAGCGUUUUCUUUUCCCUUUACUAGGUAAUCCCCUCUUACACACAGUACUUUUUUAUAUUAAAAUUUCCUUGUCCAAAUUAUUGUGUGGUUUCUGUAUCCUGAGUAAACCCUGACCAAUACAUGGCUAUACCAAUUUAUACUUCUACCUGCAAUGUGUGAGAGCUCCAGUUCCUCCACAGGCAAUUAUUUUAAAGCCUUUGUCUACCAACCACAACAUCUGGAUGAUCUGUGUGUCUUCUUCUAUUGUCUGUUUUUUUCUCUUGCUUAUCAAUGAUAUUUUCAUGCCUCUUCACAAGUCUACUUAUUUUUUACUAUAUGUAGACAUUAUAUAUAAGAGGCAUAGAGACUCCAGAUGAUAUAAUUUGCCACACAGUGUUCCCUCUUUCUUCUGUUAAGCAGAUGGGAGUAAGGAAUGAUCGCAUCAGUCCAGUGAAGGACUGAAGUGGGUUGAGACUGGGUUUUGGUUUUUGGAAUCUAUCUAUCUCAAGUCCAUCUCUGGUUUGCCCCUAUACCUGACAUGUGGAUUUUGGGUGAGUGCCUUGCCGGGUUUCUGGAUCCUCAGCCAUGAAAGACUAUGGAGAUUCAGCUCUGCUUUUCAGAGGUUCCCAGUCCAGCUUCCAGACUGUCUCCAUGGAGCUUCAAGAUCUGGCCAAUGUCUUGAGGUGGGAACUGGCUCUGUGUUUGGGGAAGGCCCUUCCUUCUUGGGAAACUUUCAUUUUCUAAGCACUGUGGGACUAUAGAAUAUUUCAACCUUUUUUUUUUUUUUUUGAAAUAGGGUCUUGCUCUGUUGGCCAGGCUGGAGUGCAGUGGCGCAAUCAGAGCUCACUGCAGCCUUGACCUCCCCAGCUCAAGUGAUUCUUUCAUGUCAGCCUCCCGAGUAGCUAGGACCACAGGUGCGCACCACUACGUCUGGCUAAGUUUUAUUUUUUCUUUGUAGAGAUGGAGUCUCCUUGUGUUGCCCAGGUUGGUCUUGAACUCCUGGGCACAAGUGAUCCUCCCACCCUGGCCUCCCAAAGUGCUGGGAUUAUAAGCAUGGUCCACUGCAUCUGGCCCUAUUCUGCUUUUAGAUGCAUUCCUAGGUGCAGAACUCAGCAAAUGUCAGGUGCAGAAAAAUGGUUUUGUAUUUAAAGCUCCCAUGUUCUAAUUUGUCAUUCUAGCACCUGUAGCCACUAAAAGCUUUGCUGGUUUCCCUUUCCUCCAUUACAGGUCCUCCUGCUAGGCAAACUUGAUCAUUAGCGAGUGCCCCAAACUGACAGAUGCCCUGGGGAUGAGGG